GAAAUGCGAUAAGUAAUGUGAAUUGCAGAAUGCAGUGAAUCAUCGAAUCUUUGAACGCACCUUGCGCUCCUUGGUAUUCCUUGGAGCAUGCCUGUUUGAGUAUCAUGAAAUCUUCAAAGUAAAUCUUUUGUUAACUCAAUUGGUUUCUACUUUGGUAUUGGAGGUCUUUGCAGCUUCACACCUGCUCCUCUUUGUUCAUUAGCUGGAUCUCAGUGUUAUGCUUGGUUCCACUCGGCGUGAUAAGUUAUCUAUCGCUGAGGACACUGUAAAAGGUGGCCAAGGUAAAUGCAGAUGAACCGCUUCUAAUAGUCCAUUGACUUGGACAAUACUUUUAUGAUCUGAUCUCAAAUCAGGUAGGACUACCCGCUGAACUUAAGC
Molecule: unclassified non-coding RNA, 378 nt
Filed under: plant metagenome
Description: partial contains 5.8S ribosomal RNA, internal transcribed spacer 2, and large subunit ribosomal RNA
Rfam family: 5.8S ribosomal RNA (bases 1-105)
Source: RNAcentral